Molecule: ribosomal RNA, 1348 nt
Filed under: uncultured bacterium
Lineage: Bacteria
Description: 16S ribosomal RNA
Rfam family: Bacterial small subunit ribosomal RNA
Source: RNAcentral
CGCUGGCGGCGUGCUUAACACAUGCAAGUCGAACGAAGCACCUUGAUUUGAUUCUUCGGAUGAAGAUCUUGGUGACUGAGUGGCGGACGGGUGAGUAACGCGUGGGUAACCUGCCUCAUACGGGGGGAUAACAGUUAGAAAUGACUGCUAAUACCGCAUAAGACCACAGCACCGCAUGGUGUAGGGGUAAAAACUCCGGUGGUAUGAGAUGGACCCGCGUCUGAUUAGGUAGUUGGUGGGGUAACGGCCUACCAAGCCGACGAUCAGUAGCCGACCUGAGAGGGUGACCGGCCACAUUGGGACUGAGACACGGCCCAAACUCCUACGGGAGGCAGCAGUGGGGAAUAUUGCACAAUGGGGGAAACCCUGAUGCAGCGACGCCGCGUGAGCGAUGAAGUAUUUCGGUAUGUAAAGCUCUAUCAGCAGGGAAGAAAAUGACGGUACCUGACUAAGAAGCACCGGCUAAAUACGUGCCAGCAGCCGCGGUAAUACGUAUGGUGCAAGCGUUAUCCGGAUUUACUGGGUGUAAAGGGAGCGUAGACGGAGUGGCAAGUCUGAUGUGAAAACCCGGGGCUCAACCCCGGGACUGCAUUGGAAACUGUCAAUCUAGAGUACCGGAGAGGUAAGCGGAAUUCCUAGUGUAGCGGUGAAAUGCGUAGAUAUUAGGAGGAACACCAGUGGCGAAGGCGGCUUACUGGACGGUAACUGACGUUGAGGCUCGAAAGCGUGGGGAGCAAACAGGAUUAGAUACCCUGGUAGUCCACGCCGUAAACGAUGACUACUAGGUGUCGGGCAGCAAAGCUGUUCGGUGCCGCAGCAAACGCAAUAAGUAGUCCACCUGGGGAGUACGUUCGCAAGAAUGAAACUCAAAGGAAUUGCCGGGGGCCCGCACAAGCAGUGGAGUAUGUGGUUUAAUUCGAAGCAACGCGAAGAACCUUACCAGGUCUUGACAUCGUAUGCAUAGUCUAGAGAUAGAUGAAAUCCCUUCGGGGACAUAUAGACAGGUGGUGCAUGGUUGUCGUCAGCUCGUGUCGUGAGAUGUUGGGUUAAGUCCCGCAACGAGCGCAACCCUUACCAUUAGUUGCUACGCAAGAGCACUCUAAUGGGACUGCCGUUGACAAAACGGAGGAAGGUGGGGAUGACGUCAAAUCAUCAUGCCCCUUAUGACCUGGGCUACACACGUACUACAAUGGCAAUAAAACAGAGGGAAGCAAAACAGCGAUGUGGAGCAAAUCCCGAAAAAUUGUCUCAGUUCAGAUUGCAGGCUGAAACUCGCCUGCAUGAAGUCGGAAUUGCUAGUAAUCGCAGAUCAGCAUGCUGCGGUGAAUACGUUCCCGGGCCUUGCACA